Molecule: ribosomal RNA, 492 nt
Filed under: uncultured bacterium
Lineage: Bacteria
Description: partial 16S ribosomal RNA
Rfam family: Bacterial small subunit ribosomal RNA
Source: RNAcentral
AGUGAAUGCUGGCGGUAGGCCUAACACAUGCAAGUCGAACGGCAGCACAGUAAGAGCUUGCUCUUACGGGUGGCGAGUGGCGGACGGGUGAGGAAUACAUCGGAAUCUACUUUUUCGUGGGGGAUAACGUAGGGAAACUUACGCUAAUACCGCAUGCGACCUACGGGUGAAAGCAGGGGAUCUUCGGACCUUGCGCGAUUGAAUGAGCCGAUGUCGGAUUAGCUAGUUGGCGGGGUAAAGGCCCACCAAGGCGACGAUCCGUAGCUGGUCUGAGAGGAUGAUCAGCCACACUGGAACUGAGACACGGUCCAGACUCCUACGGGAGGCAGCAGUGGGGAAUAUUGGACAAUGGGCGCAAGCCUGAUCCAGCCAUACCGCGUGGGUGAAGAAGGCCUUCGGGUUGUAAAGCCCUUUUGUUGGGAAAGAAAAGCAGCAGGUUAAUACCCCGCUGUUCUGACGGUACCCAAAGAAUAAGCACCGGCUAACUUCGUG